UACGUAGGGGGCAAGCGUUGUCCGGAAUCAUUGGGCGUAAAGAGCGUGUAGGCGGCCUGACAAGUCUGCUGUGAAAACUCGAGGCUCAACCUCGAGAUGUCGGCGGAAACUGUCUGGCUAGAGUCCGGAAGAGGAGAGUGGAAUUCCUGGUGUAGCGGUGAAAUGCGCAGAUAUCAGGAAGAACACCUAUGGCGAAGGCAGCUCUCUGGGACGGUACUGACGCUGAGACGCGAAAGCGUGGGGAGCGAACAGG
This 253-nucleotide ribosomal RNA is filed under the name uncultured bacterium. RNAcentral's name for it is "partial 16S ribosomal RNA". It matches the Rfam family "Bacterial small subunit ribosomal RNA", at positions 524 to 776 of the family's 1533-position model. The record is from RNAcentral.